This 810-nucleotide long non-coding RNA is filed under the name Numida meleagris (helmeted guineafowl). RNAcentral describes it as "lncRNA (ENSNMEG00000017428.1)". Lineage: Eukaryota; Metazoa; Chordata; Aves; Galliformes; Numididae. The record is from RNAcentral.
CUUCCCCCCCCCGGACCCUCCCGCAGCCGCCCCUCCCCGCUGCGCUGCGCGCCCGCGGAGCCGCCGCCUCCCGGCCGCACCUGGGGGCGGGCAGCGCCGGGCCCCGACUCGACGCGGCGCGGUUCGCACUUACUCCGCGGGGCCUCCGUGGCGGCGGCGGCGCGGGCCCGGCGGUGCCCCGGGCGCGGUGAGUCCAAUCUCAGGAGCUUCGAGCAUCUGCCGCUUCCACUGGGGUAAUGGUGAGUUGUGCCCCCCCCCCCUGCCCAAAGCUGUCAGCUCAGCUGCUGCAGUUAUCCCCUGAUCUGUGGCAGAAACCUCCAAAACGUUACGUGGCUUAUACAGCCUACAGUUCUAUCUAAAAACUGUUCGGGGCUUUCUUAUACAGCUAAAGAAUUUCAGGAGGAAUAGUGAGAAAAUGUAUUCGGACUGACAACUCUGAGUCCUGAAGUCUGCAAUACCUUUGAGAUCUGACGGGAGCUCCAAGGUGAACGGUUCCCUCUCUGUUAUUCUUUCUCAAAGCAACCACCUCUCCAGACCCGAGAGCUCCUGGCAGCAUUUUUUUCAGUGCCUGUGAAAUCAUCAAACUGCUUUCUAAGAUCCAACGUGCAAACAGCUGUGUCUGUGAUUAUAAUGAGCCUGCUUAUGGAGCUAGGUACGAGUGUGUACAUGUACAGAAGUUUCCUUCAUGAAAUAAGUGCCUCAAACCAGAUUAUAAAUUAUCAAGGAAACCCUAUUUUAUUGCUUUUUACAUUUUCAGCUCCCUAUGGCUGUUAGUUGUCCUCGCUCUUCCCGAUAUUCCUAAAGACCUUC